This 452-nucleotide long non-coding RNA is filed under the name Manacus vitellinus (golden-collared manakin). Its description in RNAcentral is "lncRNA (ENSMVIG00005015822.1)". The record is from RNAcentral. Lineage: Eukaryota; Metazoa; Chordata; Aves; Passeriformes; Pipridae.
AUGACAGAGUCCUGCUUCCCAGAUCCCAAGAGAAGUGAGAGCAAACACAUGGAGCAGCUCAGAAUAUGGAAUGAUGCAGCUCACAGGAGCCUCAGAACUGCCCCACCUCCUGCAGCAGGAUCCAUCCUGUCUGAGAUGCUACCCAAGAAAGCAGCAGCUGUGAAGGAAAGAAAAGUAAAUAUUCAGCACAGGAGCUGGACUGGGCCCGGAUUUUAUUUUUUUUUGGUGAAAAUCCAAAUGCUCUCUCUAAGGUCUCAGUGAGACUUUGAGCCAUGGUCAGCUGGACCAUCAUGGGCAGAGCCCCUCGUUUGCUUCAGUCUUUUGGAAGGUAAAGGAGAGAAGUGAAGAAAGCCCAGCGGUCCCCAAACUGUGUGAAUCGACCUGCUUGGGGCUGUGUUGUAAAAACAUUAGAUUGGAGAUCUGGGCAUAAUAAACGCAAGAUAACAUUGCCA